This 403-nucleotide ribosomal RNA is filed under the name uncultured bacterium. RNAcentral describes it as "bacterial SSU rRNA". It matches the Rfam family "Bacterial small subunit ribosomal RNA", at positions 975 to 1375 of the family's 1533-position model. The record is from RNAcentral.
CAGCCCUUGACAUGUCCCGUAUGAGAACCAGAGAUGGAUCUCUUCAGUUCGGCUGGCGGGCACACAGGUGCUGCAUGGCUGUCGUCAGCUCGUGUCGUGAGAUGUUGGGUUAAGUCCCGCAACGAGCGCAACCCUCGCCCUUAGUUGCCAUCAUUCAGUUGGGCACUCUAAGGGGACUGCCGGUGAUAAGCCGCGAGGAAGGUGGGGAUGACGUCAAGUCCUCAUGGCCCCUACGGGCUGGGCUACACGCGUGCUACAAUGGCGGUGACAAUGGGAUGCGAAGGGGCAACCCGGAGCUAAUCUCAAAAAGCCGUCUCAGUUCGGAUUGCACUCUGCAACUCGAGUGCACGAAGUCGGAAUCGCUAGUAAUCGUGGAUCAGCAUGCCACGGUGAAUACGUUCCC